This 774-nucleotide non-coding RNA is filed under the name Scolytinae sp. BMNH 1040075. The record is from RNAcentral. Lineage: Eukaryota; Metazoa; Arthropoda; Insecta; Coleoptera; Curculionidae.
UAAAAGUUUUUUUGCUUUGAGGUUUCAGAAAAAUUUUAUAUUACAUGUAAGUUUUGGCUUUAAAAAAGAGGUGUUUAAAUAAGAAUUUGUUUUUGACGGGGCAGUCAUUAAUAUUAAAUAUUCGGGGGGCCGAGAUUUAGUGGAAAAUUUUAGUAUAAACAAAAUUUGUGCCAGCAGUUGCGGUUACACAAAUUAUGCAAUGAAAUUUUGUUGGGUAUAGUUAAUUUGAUUUAUUUGUAGAUAAAGAAAUAUUCUAUUGGGUGGAAUUUUAGAAUGUUGUUUUCUAUUUUAUUGUUAAUGAGGCUAGUAAAUUUUACAAAAGACUAGGAUUAGAUACCCUAUUAUAAAAGUUAAUUUUAAAAACCUAAAUUAUUAGUAGCUAAGUUCUUGAAAAUUAAUAAAGAUGGCGGUAUUUUAGUCUAUUCAGAGGAAUCUGCCCUGUAAUUGAUAUACCACGAUUUAAUUUACUUAAGUUUUUAACUUACAUAUCGCUGUGAAUUGAAUAUUUCUGUUGAAUUUUAAUAUUCAAGAUUUUGAAUGAAAGGAUAUCAAGUCAAGAUGUAGUUUAUAUUUAAGAAGAGGUGGAUUACAAAAAUUUUAUUUGUGGUUAAUUUAUUGAAAUAUUUUUUAUAAAAUGGAUUUGAAAGUAAUUUUUUACAAAAAUUUUAGAAAUGAUUCUAGCUCUAAAAUAUGUACAUAUCGCCCGUCGCUUUCACUACAAAGUGGAAUAAGUCGUAACAUAGUAGAUGUACUGGAAAGUGUCUCUAGAAGACA